UAGGGAAUCUUCGGCAAUGGACGAAAGUCUGACCGAGCAACGCCGCGUGAGUGAAGAAGGUCUUCGGAUCGUAAAACUCUGUUGUUAGAGAAGAACAAGGACGUUAGUAACUGAACGUCCCCUGACGGUAUCUAACCAGAAAGCCACGGCUAACUACGUGCCAGCAGCCGCGGUAAUGCGUAGGUGGCAAGCGUUGUCCGGAAUUAUUGGGCGUAAAGCGAGCGCAGGCGGUUUCUUAAGUCUGAUGUGAAAGCCCCCGGCUCAACCGGGGAGGGUCAUUGGAAACUGGGAGACUUGAGUGCGGAAGAGGAGAGUGGAAUUCCAUGUGUAGCGGUGAAAUGCGUAGAUAUGUGGAGGAACACCGGUGGCGAAGGCGGCUCUCUGGUCUGUAACUGACGCUGAGGCACGAAAGCGUGGGGAGCAAACAGG
Molecule: ribosomal RNA, 429 nt
Filed under: Chloroflexota bacterium
Lineage: Bacteria; Bacillati; Chloroflexota
Description: Chloroflexi bacterium partial 16S ribosomal RNA
Rfam family: Bacterial small subunit ribosomal RNA
Source: RNAcentral